GGCCGUGUGGCAAAAUGGUUACUGCGUUGCUUUCCGGCUCCCUUCGCUAGGCAAAGACUCUGGGUUCGAGUCCCAGCAUGGUCG
Favolaschia claudopus is the source of this 84-nucleotide non-coding RNA. Lineage: Eukaryota; Fungi; Basidiomycota; Agaricomycetes; Agaricales; Mycenaceae. The record is from the annotation of a GenBank genome assembly.